AUAAUGUGGAUGUUAAGGAGAGAAAAUGUGAAAUGCCUUUUUAAAUCCAUUUUAAUAUGUCUUAAGGACUGGAUGAUGGAUGGGCUAAGAGCCUGCGGCUGACACGGAGCUGGGAGGCUGCCUGGGCGAGUAGCUCUAGUGACUUCGGCACCCGCAUGCCCGCAGGGCCUGUGCUCUGGCUACCUCUGGGCUAGGGUGGCCUGAGGUAGCGAAGCAGGGAGACGGCCCUUUUCACAGUCCUGCUGCUCUUGGCACCUAGUUCUGACUGUGUGGGGCUGUGCCACACAGAACUUGAAACGAGAAGCCAGUGGCACAUGGAAGCAAGUGAAAGGCUGUAUCCUGAAGCGGAAGGGUCAGGGCAGACGACGUGAGCAGCAGAGGCGUCUCCGCAGUGAAGCCUGCGCUGAAGCUCCACGCCAAAGCCGCUGAGCAUCCUGGGGACCAGUUCCUUGGCUGUUUCUUCCUUGGGCUUUAUCACUGAAGGGACUGCUUGGUGUCAUUGUGGAAGAUUUCAUCGGUCCUAUCACAAUGCAGAGGACACCACAAAGGGACCCUACCAACACUAAGGCUCAUCAAAGCUAAACAGGACAAAGCUAAAGGCAAAGGUUUUCAAAAUCGCCAGAGUGAGAGAAAACAAGGCUAGGUUAGCAACUGGCAGACCCAGCAGCAAGUGGGUAUCUGAAGAUAAUUGAAUAGGAUCCGGAGGGAUGGCUCACUGCGCAAGGCCACCUGCAACUCCGGCUCCACGGGAUCUGAUGCCCUCUUCUGGCCUCCACAGAUGCCUGCACAAACAGAACUAUAGAGUAAAUGCCAUUGGAAAUACCUUGGAGGCAAAGCCGACUGCUGGAUGACAGCGAAUGGAGCCUGAUCUCAGGCUGAGGGGAAAAAGUGUGGAAACCAUGAAGAACACCCAACUGACUGUAAAAGAGACCAAGUAAGUAUCCUUUAAGCUACACUAGUCAUGUUAUGUGGGAUCAAAAGGAGAGACAGACUUUGGAAUCAGAAAAUGCCAAACAUAAAUGAGGGAUCAACAUGGAUAUGAAAUGUUUUUGGUCUCUUACACAGUCCAGAAAGAAAGUAAAGAUAUUUAUUGACAGCUGCUUACCAGCCCAGAAUACAUGAGUUAGUUGUAAUUUAUAGGUCAGCUAUCAAAAGAGAAAAAUCUUAGAAUAUAGCUUAUUUAAAAAACGUAUUUAUUUUUAUUUCAUGUGCAUUGGUGUUUUACCUGCUUGUAUGUCUGUGUGAGGAUGUUGGAUCCUCUGGAACUGGAGCUAUAAACAGGUGUAAGCUGCCAUUGGGGAUGCUGGGAAUUGAACCUUGGUUUUCUAGAAAAGCAGCCGGUGUUCUUAACCACCAAACCAUUUCUCCAGCCUAGAAUAUAGCUUUUAAAUAUUUGGAAAAGUAAUGUUUUGUUGUUUUUGUUUGUUGUUUUUGAUAAGGAGUCAUACUGUGUAGCCCAGAAUGGCUUCAAACUUCAGAUCCUUCUACCUCAGCCUUCAAGCGCUGGGAUUGCGGGUGUGUGCCACACAUCUAGCCUGAUGAAACAAUUUUGAAGAGUCAAAGAUAUUGUAUUAAAUAUUUAUUUUACUUUUAUUGAUGUAUGUAUAUGUACAAGUAUUUUCAGUCUGUUCCUGAUUGAAUGAGUGGAUAUGGAAAUGCAGAAAUGAAGGACUGACUAUAUUUGUGUGCUUUAUCCCACAGUUGAUAAAUAUAAGGCAGCAUGUUCCAGAGGCCAUUUCAUAAUGUGGA
Molecule: long non-coding RNA, 1749 nt
Organism: Psammomys obesus (fat sand rat)
Lineage: Eukaryota; Metazoa; Chordata; Mammalia; Rodentia; Muridae
Exons: 4
Source: RefSeq, a predicted model, not a curated record